CACUUGGGUAGAUUUCUACCACGGGAGAGAGCGGAAAGCUUCUGGCAUGCUUUGGCAGCUAGUUUGCGAGUACGCGCUCUGUCUGAACCCUUGUCUUUUUGAGCACUCUUGUUUCCUCGGCAGGCUUGCCUGCCGGUCGGACAACUCAACCACCUUUUAAUUUCAAUCAGCGUCUGAAUCACUAUAAUAAUUA
This 193-nucleotide unclassified non-coding RNA is filed under the name uncultured fungus. Its description in RNAcentral is "sequence contains ITS1". The record is from RNAcentral. Lineage: Eukaryota; Fungi.